Molecule: ribosomal RNA, 449 nt
Filed under: uncultured bacterium
Lineage: Bacteria
Description: bacterial SSU rRNA
Rfam family: Bacterial small subunit ribosomal RNA
Source: RNAcentral
UGGGGAAUAUUGGACAAUGGGCGCAAGCCUGAUCCAGCAAUGCCGCGUGUGUGAAGAAGGCCUGCGGGUUGUAAAGCACUUUCGGUGGGGAGAAAGAGGCUAUCACUAAUACUGGUAGCGGAUGAUGUUACCCACAGAAGAAGCACCGGCUAACUCUGUGCCAGCAGCCGCGGUAAUACAGAGGGUGCGAGCGUUAAUCGGAAUUACUGGGCGUAAAGGGUGCGUAGGUGGUUACGUAAGUUAGGUGUGAAAGCCCCGGGCUUAACCUGGGAAUUGCGCUUGAUACUGCGUGGCUAGAGUACUGUAGAGGAAGGUGGAAUUUCCAGUGUAGCGGUGAAAUGCGUAGAUAUUGGAAGGAACAUCGGUGGCGAAGGCGACUUUCUGGACAGAUACUGACACUGAGGCACGAAAGCAUGGGGAGCAAACAGGAUUAGAUACCCCGGUAGUCC